Molecule: non-coding RNA, 226 nt
Filed under: Heliophilum fasciatum
Lineage: Bacteria; Bacillati; Bacillota; Clostridia; Eubacteriales; Heliobacteriaceae
Source: RNAcentral
GAAAUCCUGCCUGAAAUGGUUGAAGCCCAACCAUCAGUAGCGAGUCUUGGACUGAACAAAGCAAUUUGUGCGGUUUAGCGUAGACAGUUAGGAUGUAGGCCUGAAUGUGAUUGAGCCUCGAAAUGAGUAAAACGGAUAGGCUGACGAUGUCGAAGUAUCGGAAAGCAACACCGUACUUUUAUCAAUAGUGGCGAGAUGAGUGCGGCUAUCCCGGGGAUGAAGAGCC